Molecule: non-coding RNA, 126 nt
Filed under: Pseudalgibacter alginicilyticus
Lineage: Bacteria; Pseudomonadati; Bacteroidota; Flavobacteriia; Flavobacteriales; Flavobacteriaceae
Description: Algibacter alginicilyticus SAM-I sequence
Rfam family: SAM riboswitch aptamer (S box leader)
About the family: The SAM riboswitch is found upstream of a number of genes which code for proteins involved in methionine or cysteine biosynthesis in Gram-positive bacteria.
Source: Rfam by way of RNAcentral
AUGUUAUCAAGAAAGGUGGAGGGAUUAGACCCUUUGAAACCUUAGCAACCCUUUACACUUAGUAAUGAAGGUGCUAAAUUCUACUUAAAUUCCCGAUUCAUUUAUCGGAAUUUGGAUAGAUAACUU